Long non-coding RNA from Ooceraea biroi (clonal raider ant), 1317 nucleotides. RefSeq lists it as uncharacterized. NCBI's taxonomy places the organism in Eukaryota, Metazoa, Arthropoda, Insecta, Hymenoptera, Formicidae. The record is from RefSeq and is a predicted model, not a curated record.
CUCGGAGACAAAUCCUUGCAGUGGCGGCUCGACGUUCCGGAAGCAAUCUCGUUUGACAGCUCACUGUCGCCUUCGCGCGACAAUUCGAUAUGUACACACACGUACAGACCGCGUUAUACGGAGCAUAUCAAACCUCGCAGAAAUUGAAUCAGCGGCGGUCGGAGGAAUCCGUAAACGGAAACGUGAACGCGAAUCAACGGUGCACUCGGUGCUUCUCUCGCCGGCGCGCGACGCUUCGUUGCUAAAGAUAAUAUCGUUCCGUACGACAAAUUGGCACGUAUCGUGGCGUAAAGAGGUGCCCGCCCGUCUGCAUUACGUAUAUAUUUUGAAAAUUUCGGCAGACAUGUAUUUUCAGAUAAUCAAAUAGCGCUUUCAAUAAAUUCCUACGUAUAAAAUUAUACGUUAAAAUUACAUAAAUUGUCAUUUAACACAUAUUAAAAGAAAAUUAGGUAUUCAUUUAAACUAUGUUUCCUCGCAAAUCUGCGGAUAAAUUAAAUUGAAUUGGAUUAUCUGAAUAAAUUUAAAUGCAUUCAAUGUCAUGCAUUAAAUGACAUAUCAAAAGAGAAGACUCGUAUAGAAUUAAAUGUUAAACAUCAUCAAAUAUUAAUAUGUAAUGUUACAUACAAGUAAAAGUACGUUUAUAAUGAUAUCUCACCACAUACGAAAAAUCUGUAUACUGUAAGCGUAUUAUUAUUCCUUGAUCGAACAUAACUGUUUCUUCAGCUGAAUAAUUUCGAUAUUAGUUUUAUUCUUGAAAUCUACUAAAUUAAUACGAUAAUCGAUUCUGUGUCCCACUGACAGUCAGGUGUGAGAUAUAAACGAUUCUGAAUGUCAGAACACCUUGUAUAUUAAUAGCCUCGCUUGUGCACGCUGUGUCAAAUUGGAGGGAGACUAAUGUAAAGUGCAUCGCGCCCAGGGAAGAGAAAUGAUCGAAGGGGCCAGUAUCCGAAAGGCGAUUUAAAGGCACUCUUGAAUGCCGCCCGCGUUCACGCAUAUGUGCACGACGCUUUUUUCACCGAUAAAUAAUUUUAGUCUGGGCGUUACCAGAUCCCGCUGAUUUCUCGAGAAGCUACCUCGAGGGAGCGAAAUGGAUACUCGGAUAAAGCUAACGAAGAUGAUCGUACGAAAUAUGAUGGCGAUUCGUCGAGGAUUGAGAAAAACAGCGAGCAUUUAGUGAAGAGGAAGGGUUAGAACAAGAAGCGGCAGAAGAAGAACGUGAAUAGAAAACAGCAGCAGCUUUGGCAUAAUCAAUAUCUGCUCAUGUUUUAAAUAUUCAAAUAAUAAAAAACUAACAUUCAAUAAAAUUUAGAUAAACGA